UCACAAAGCCCCAGACCGAGGUAUUAAGCCGUUUCUCGGCUAACAUUCGGAGAGUGAUGGCCGCCGCUUUCAAAGUCUCCGUCUCUUUGCUCCCCUCGAGCAAAUCUCCUCGCGUCUCUUUCCCUCGCCCCUCCUUCAAGCCUAUCUCUGCCCCCAAAUCCUUCUCUUCCAUGGCUUCUCUCCGUGUCGCCCCGACGGUUGGGAUCUCCGAGACCUUCUCCCGCUUGAGGGAACAAGGAAAAGUUGCAUUUAUACCUUUCUUAACUGCUGGUGAUCCUGAUUUGUCAACAACCUCGCAAGCAUUGAAAGUUCUUGAUUCUUGUGGUUCAGACUUGAUAGAAUUGGGCAUACCCUACUCUGAUCCUUUAGCAGAUGGACCUGUUAUCCAGGCUGCUGCUACACGUGCCCUCGCAAAAGGAACCAACUUUGAUGCAGUUAUAUCCAUGUUAAGGGAGGUUGCACCUCAACUGUCUUGUCCAAUAGCUCUGUUUACAUAUUACAAUCCAAUACUAAAGCGUGGAGUUGAGAAGUUCAUGUCAACAAUAAAAAAUGUUGGUGUACAUGGACUUGUGGUGCCAGAUGUUCCUUUAGAGGAGACUGAAAUUUUAAGGAGUGAAGCUGUUAAACAUAAUAUUGAGUUGGUUCUGCUUACAACACCCACCACUCCAACAGAAAGAAUGAAAGCCAUCGUAGAAGCUUCCGAAGGUUUUGUAUAUCUUGUGAGCUCUGUUGGAGUUACAGGUGCCCGUUCAUCGGUCAGUUCACGAGUGCAAUCUCUCCUACAGGAACUUAAAGAGAUAUUUCAUGGAUUCUUCUGGUCAAGCCACAUGAAUGAUUUAUGGUUGUCUGGUUGGCCAGUAACUUUCCUGUCAGCUAACUGAGGACUCUGUGAUUUGAUAUAGUGGAAUUAAACAGUUGAUGGCAACAACAAAACCUGUUGCAGUUGGCUUUGGCAUAUCAAAACCGGAACAUGUGAAGCAGGUUGCUGGAUGGGGAGCGGAUGGUGUAAUUGUUGGUAGUGCAAUAGUGAAGCUUCUUGGGGAGGCAAAAACCCCUGAAGAAGGACUGAAGGAGCUAGAAGCCUUCACAAAGUCCUUAAAGGCUGCACUCCCUUGAUAAAUGGUUACUUCGGAGGAAUGGUACCAUGCGGAACGUGCCUGCUCUUGGUCUGGAAUGUUGUAAGCAAGAUGACGCAUCGGAGCAUCAAAUUUUAGUGAAAGAUAUGAAUGUUUCCAUUGUGAUGUUCCAAACUAUUGACAAAUUAUUUCCUGCUCUUGGUUUAGAGUGGUCUGGAAACAUGAUGCCCAGCAGCAUCAAAAUUUCAGUGAGGGAUAUGGAUGUUUCCAUUGUGAUGUUCCAAAUUAUUGAUGAAUUCUUUCUCCAAUGUUAAAACUUACAGAUACAAAUAAGGUUGGUCCUGAUGCUCCAGUGUGAGAAGCUCAUGAAUGAGAUAUUCCAUGACCAAGGUUUUCAUCUUCAACCUUUUUAUCCAUAGGAAAGUUAAAUUCCUAGUGCAAGAUGUCAUUAGAUUAACUUAGCUAGUUUUCUAUUGCAACAUUUUUAUUUUUUGGAGAGAGAAUUGACGAGAUAAUUUUGUACAAAAAUAUGCCAUAUUUGCAACACGAGUAAACUACGCCUGCAAGGUUAAAUGAGCA
Molecule: RNA transcript, 1655 nt
Organism: Elaeis guineensis (African oil palm)
Lineage: Eukaryota; Viridiplantae; Streptophyta; Magnoliopsida; Arecales; Arecaceae
Gene name: tryptophan synthase alpha chain
Source: RefSeq, a predicted model, not a curated record